GGCAGUGGCUCAAUGUCUUCUAAGCAGGUUGUCGCAGGUUCGAGUCCUGCAGGGGUCGCCA
Molecule: transfer RNA, 61 nt
Filed under: Sinorhizobium mexicanum
Lineage: Bacteria; Pseudomonadati; Pseudomonadota; Alphaproteobacteria; Hyphomicrobiales; Rhizobiaceae
Description: tRNA-Leu
Source: RNAcentral